Molecule: long non-coding RNA, 266 nt
Filed under: Mytilus galloprovincialis (Mediterranean mussel)
Lineage: Eukaryota; Metazoa; Mollusca; Bivalvia; Mytilida; Mytilidae
Source: RNAcentral
CUUAGUACACAUGUUCCCUAUGAUAUGAUCUUUCUAAUUUUAAUGCCAAAUUAGAGUUUUGACCCCAAUUUCACGGUCCACUGAACAUAGAAAAUAAUGCGAGUGGGUCAUUAGUGUACUAUGGACACAUUCUUGUUCUCUAUGUUAUAGCAUCAUGAAAGGUAAAAAGAGGUAAACAAUUGUCUUUCAAAAUUUCAUAAGUUUGAAAAACUUUAAUUGAUAGUUUCAUCUAUGUUGAUUUAGAUGUAGAUCUUAUUGUUCUGGCC